Molecule: ribosomal RNA, 434 nt
Filed under: uncultured microorganism
Description: bacterial SSU rRNA
Rfam family: Bacterial small subunit ribosomal RNA
Source: RNAcentral
GGGCUGCAGUCAAGAACCUUUCUCAAUGGGCGAAAGCCUGAAGAAGCGACGCCGCGUGUAUGAAGAAGCUCUUCGGAGUGUAAAAUACUUUUAUAGGGGAACAAUUUUUGAGCGUACCCUAUGAAUAAGGGGCUCCUAAACUCGUGCCAGCAGGAGCGGUAAUACGAGUGCCCCAAGCGUUAUCCGGAAUUACUGGGCGUAAAGCGUCUGUAGGGGGUUUUAAUAGUCUUGUGUUAAAUCCUGGGGCUCAACUCCAGAAUCGCGCAGGAAACGUUAAGACUAGAGGAUGUGAGAGGCUGAUGGAACCUACGGUGUAGGGGUGAAAUCCGUUGAUAUCGUAGGGAACACCAAAGGCGAAGGCAUUCAGCUAGCGCAUUCCUGACCCUGAGAGACGAAAGCGUGGGGAGCAAAAAGGAUUAGAUACCCCGGUAGUC